GUGAACGCUGGCGGUAGGCCUAACACAUGCAAGUCGAACGGCAGCACAGUAAGAGCUUGCUCUUACGGGUGGCGAGUGGCGGACGGGUGAGGAAUACAUCGGAAUCUACUUUUUCGUGGGAGAUAACGUAGGGAAACUUACGCUAAUACCGCAUACGACCUACGGGUGAAAGCAGGGGAUCUUCGGACCUUGCGCGAUUGAAUGAGCCGAUGUCGGAUUAGCUAGUUGGCGGGGUAAAGGCCCACCAAGGCGACGAUCCGUAGCUGGUCUGAGAGGAUGAUCAGCCACACUGGAACUGAGACACGGUCCAGACUCCUACGGGAGGCAGCAGUGGGGAAUAUUGGACAAAGGGCGCAAGCCUGAUCCAGCCAUACCGCGUGGGUGAAGAAGGCCUUCGGGUUGUAAAGCCCUUUUGUUGGGAAAGAAAAGCAGCAGGUUAAUACCCCGCUGUUCUGACGGUACCCAAAGAAUAAGCACCGGCUAACUUCGUG
RNAcentral lists this ribosomal RNA (491 nucleotides) under uncultured bacterium. RNAcentral's name for it is "partial 16S ribosomal RNA". It matches the Rfam family "Bacterial small subunit ribosomal RNA", at positions 29 to 507 of the family's 1533-position model. The record is from RNAcentral.